Molecule: non-coding RNA, 45 nt
Filed under: Schistosoma mansoni
Lineage: Eukaryota; Metazoa; Platyhelminthes; Trematoda; Strigeidida; Schistosomatidae
Source: RNAcentral
AUACAGCUGAGGAGUCCCAAAUAGGACGAAACGCCCGUCUUGGAU